UACAGAGGGUGCGAGCGUUGUCCGGAAUCACUGGGCGUAAAGGGCGCGUAGGCGGCGCGGGAAGUCCAUGGUGAAAGUCCGAGGCUCAACUUCGGGUCGGCCAAGGAUACUCCCGGGCUCGAGCACUGUAGAGGCAGGUGGAAUUCCGGGUGUAGCGGUGGAAUGCGUAGAGAUCCGGAAGAACACCGGUGGCGAAGGCGACUUGCUGGGCCGUACCUGACGCUGAUGCGCGAAAGCUAGGGGAGCGAACCGG
Molecule: ribosomal RNA, 253 nt
Filed under: uncultured bacterium
Lineage: Bacteria
Description: partial 16S ribosomal RNA
Rfam family: Bacterial small subunit ribosomal RNA
Source: RNAcentral